Molecule: unclassified non-coding RNA, 358 nt
Filed under: soil metagenome
Description: partial contains 5.8S ribosomal RNA, internal transcribed spacer 2, and large subunit ribosomal RNA
Rfam family: 5.8S ribosomal RNA (bases 1-120)
Source: RNAcentral
GAUGAAGAACGUAGCGAAAUGCGAUAAGUAAUGUGAAUUGCAGAAUUCAGUGAAUCAUCGAAACUUUGAACGCACAUUGCGCCCGUCAGUAUUCUGGCGGGCAUGCCUGUUCGAGCGUCAUUACGCCCCUCAAGUCCCCUGUGGACUUGGUGUUGGGGAUCGGCGAGGCUGGUUUUCCAGCACAGCCGUCCCUUAAAUUAAUUGGCGGUCUCGCCGUGGCCCUCCUCUGCGCAGUAGUAAAACACUCGCAACAGGAGCCCGGCGCGGUCCACUGCCGUAAAACCCCCCAACUUUCCAAGGUUGACCUCAGAUCAGGUAGGAAUACCCGCUGAACUUAAGCAUAUCAAUAAGCGGAGGA